GCCCGCUCAAGAAACUUAAAUGAAUUGACGGGGCCCGCACAAGCGGUGGAGUAUGUGGUUUAAUUCGAUGCAACGCGAAGAACCUUACCUGGUCUUGACAUCCCGGAGACCCUUAGGAAACUAGGGGGUGCUUCCAUCUGGAAGAAUCUGGAGACAGGUGCUGCAUGGCUGUCGUCAGCUCGUGUCGUGAGAUGUUGGGUUAAGUCCCGCAACGAGCGCAACCCUUGCCUUUAGUUGCCAGCAGUUCGGCUGGGCACUCUAAAGGGACUGCCGGUGUUAAACCGGAGGAAGGUGGGGAUGACGUCAAGUCCUCAUGGCCUUUAUGACCAGGGCUACACACGUACUACAAUGGCCGAUACAAAGGGCAGCGACACUGCGAGGUGAAGCCAAUCCCGUAAAAUCGGUCUCAGUCCGGAUUGGAGUCUGCAACUCGACUCCAUGAAGUUGGAAUCGCUAGUAAUCGUGGAUCAGCAUGCCACGGUGAAUACGUUCCCGGGCCUU
This 501-nucleotide ribosomal RNA is filed under the name uncultured Desulfobulbus sp. RNAcentral's name for it is "bacterial SSU rRNA". It matches the Rfam family "Bacterial small subunit ribosomal RNA", at positions 882 to 1382 of the family's 1533-position model. Lineage: Bacteria; Pseudomonadati; Thermodesulfobacteriota; Desulfobulbia; Desulfobulbales; Desulfobulbaceae. The record is from RNAcentral.